UGGGGAAUAUUGGACAAUGGGCGAAAGCCUGAUCCAGCCAUGCCGCGUGUGUGAAGAAGGCCUUUUGGUUGUAAAGCACUUUAAGCGAGGAGGAGGCUACUUAGAUUAAUACUCUAGGAUAGUGGACGUUACUAGCAGAAUAAGCACCGGCUAACUCUGUGCCAGCAGCCGCGGUAAUACAGAGGGUGCGAGCGUUAAUCGGAUUUACUGGGCGUAAAGCGUGCGUAGGCGGCUUUUUAAGUCGGAUGUGAAAUCCCUGAGCUUAACUUAGGAAUUGCAUUCGAUACUGGGAAGCUAGAGUAUGGGAGAGGAUGGUAGAAUUCCAGGUGUAGCGGUGAAAUGCGUAGAGAUCUGGAGGAAUACCGAUGGCGAAGGCAGCCAUCUGGCCUAAUACUGACGCUGAGGUACGAAAGCAUGGGGAGCAAACAGG
This 430-nucleotide ribosomal RNA is filed under the name Bacillota bacterium. Its description in RNAcentral is "Firmicutes bacterium partial 16S ribosomal RNA". It matches the Rfam family "Bacterial small subunit ribosomal RNA", at positions 355 to 776 of the family's 1533-position model. The record is from RNAcentral. Lineage: Bacteria; Bacillati; Bacillota.